This 205-nucleotide unclassified non-coding RNA is filed under the name Hevea brasiliensis (rubber tree). The record is from RNAcentral. Lineage: Eukaryota; Viridiplantae; Streptophyta; Magnoliopsida; Malpighiales; Euphorbiaceae.
GUCAUCUUUUGAAAAACACCCUCUGCUUUCUCUUUCUGCCGUGCCUUCCCAUAGUUCAUUAUCAUGGAAUUGAAAGUAGGCAAAGUUGGUUUCUCUUUGGAAUGCAACAGGCUCUUAAAAACCUGCUCCAUCUUAUCAAAAUCUUGUUUCUUUCCAUAAGAGUCAAUCAGCAAAUUAAAUGUAAUAAUAUCAGGUUUACAUUGAU